This 424-nucleotide ribosomal RNA is filed under the name uncultured Planctomyces sp. RNAcentral's name for it is "bacterial SSU rRNA". It matches the Rfam family "Bacterial small subunit ribosomal RNA", at positions 355 to 774 of the family's 1533-position model. The record is from RNAcentral. Lineage: Bacteria; Pseudomonadati; Planctomycetota; Planctomycetia; Planctomycetales; Planctomycetaceae.
UCGAGAAUCUUCGGCAAUGGGCGCAAGCCUGACCGAGCGACGCCGCGUGUGGGAUGAAGGCCCUUGGGUUGUAAACCACUGUCAGAGGGGAUGAAGUGCCGGAGGGUUAUCUCUCCGGUUUGACAUAGCCUCAGAGGAAGCACGGGCUAAGUUCGUGCCAGCAGCCGCGGUAAUACGAACUGUGCAAACGUUAUUCGGAAUCACUGGGCUUACAGGGUGCGUAGGCGGCCUGUCAAGUAGGGUGUGAAAGCCCCCGGCUCAACCGGGGAAUUGCGCCCUAAACUGUCGGGCUGGAGUGAGAUAGGGGUGUGUGGAACUUCCGGUGGAGCGGUGAAAUGUGUUGAUAUCGGAAGGAACGCCGGUGGCGAAAGCGACACACUGGAUCUUGUCUGACGCUGAGGCACGAAAGCCAGGGGAGCGAACG